AGGUAAUCGCGGCUGGAUCCGGCGCUGAAAAUCAGAUCACGGAUCCGGGAGGAAGGAGACCACCACGGACAGCUGGGUGUUGGGCUCGGGAUGCUGCUAUGAACCUCACGAACGGCUGGGAGGCGUGUGAGGCAAGCGGAAGAUGAGCAGAUCGUGGAUCCGGGAGGUGAUCGCGGGACUUGGGAUUCCUUGCUUGUUCCGUUGCAGAAGGAUGCGAAGAUGCUAGGAACUCAGGGGAUGCAAGAUAGACGCUGGCUCACACACGGAAAAGGAAUGGCUGAAGAGCCGGCUGCGGGAUGGAGGAGGCGGCUUCACAGGCUCGGGCGGACGUUUGGGUGCGGGAGAAUCGCGCAUGCUUCGCGGAAGAACGGAGGAGGCGGACGGCUGGGACGCUGAUGGACGAAGGAGCUGAUCGUGGAGAUCUGAGAGGAGCUGGGAUGAGCGGACGUGGUCGCGGUGGAGAAGAUGGACGGCUGGGAAAUCCGUUGCGAGAGGAUCGUGGAAGGCUGCAGGGGGGCGCUGAU
This 524-nucleotide long non-coding RNA is filed under the name Phoenix dactylifera (date palm). Its description in RNAcentral is "long non-coding RNA (PDAC_LNC022474)". Lineage: Eukaryota; Viridiplantae; Streptophyta; Magnoliopsida; Arecales; Arecaceae. The record is from RNAcentral.